CUUCAAAACACACUGGCCGUUUCUCAAUACGUGUACUUCUCUGUACUUGUGAACUCACGGACUCGUGAAACGUCAUCAGUCAGAGACCAAGUACUGUUCCAAUUCAAAGUUCGCAUCUCACCAAGUCCGCAUAAAAUACCCGGAUGUGAC
Long non-coding RNA from Salarias fasciatus (jewelled blenny), 150 nucleotides. RefSeq lists it as uncharacterized. Lineage: Eukaryota; Metazoa; Chordata; Actinopteri; Blenniiformes; Blenniidae. The transcript is spliced from 3 exons. The record is from RefSeq and is a predicted model, not a curated record.